ACGAACGCUGGCGGCAUGCCUAACACAUGCAAGUCGAACGCCCCGCAAGGGGAGUGGCGCACGGGUGAGUAACGCGUGGGGAUCUGCCCAUCGGUGGGGAAUAACCUCGGGAAACUGAGGCUAAUACCGCAUACGCCCUGUAAAGGGGAAAGAUUUAUCGCCGAUGGAUGAACCCGCGUCCGAUUAGCUUGUUGGUGAGGUAAUGGCUCACCAAGGCUUCGAUCGGUAGCUGGUCUGAGAGGAUGACCAGCCACACUGGGACUGAGACACGGCCCAGACUCCUACGGGAGGCAGCAGUGGGGAAUAUUGGACAAUGGGCGCAAGCCUGAUCCAGCAAUGCCGCGUGAAUGAUGAAGGCCUUAGGGUUGUAAAGUUCUUUCGCUCGUGACGAUGAUGACGGUAACGAGAGAAGAAGCCCCGGCUAACUUCGU
Molecule: ribosomal RNA, 431 nt
Filed under: uncultured bacterium
Lineage: Bacteria
Description: bacterial SSU rRNA
Rfam family: Bacterial small subunit ribosomal RNA
Source: RNAcentral